RNAcentral lists this ribosomal RNA (430 nucleotides) under uncultured soil bacterium. RNAcentral describes it as "bacterial SSU rRNA". It matches the Rfam family "Bacterial small subunit ribosomal RNA", at positions 26 to 448 of the family's 1533-position model. The record is from RNAcentral.
AGGACGAACGCUGGCGGCGUGCUUAACACAUGCAAGUCGAACGGUGAAGGAGAGCUUGCUCUCCGGAUCAGUGGCGAACGGGUGAGUAACACGUGAGUAACCUGCCCUUGACUCUGGGAUAAGCGUUGGAAACGACGUCUAAUACCGGAUACGAGCUUCAGCCGCAGUGGCUAGGAGCUGGAAAGAUUUCGGCAAGGAUGGACUCGCGGCCUAUCAGCUAGUUGGUGAGGUAAUGGCUCACCAAGGCGACGACGGGUAGCCGGCCUGAGAGGGUGACCGGCCACACUGGGACUGAGACACGGCCCGAGACUCCGUACGGGAGGCAGCAGGUGGGAAUGUGCACAAGUGGGACGCAAGCCUGAUGCAGCAACGCCGCGGUAGGGGACGAAGGUCCGUUACGGGUACGUUAAACCGUUCGUUUAAGGUAGGG